RNAcentral lists this ribosomal RNA (429 nucleotides) under uncultured bacterium. RNAcentral's name for it is "bacterial SSU rRNA". It matches the Rfam family "Bacterial small subunit ribosomal RNA", at positions 29 to 457 of the family's 1533-position model. The record is from RNAcentral.
AGUGAACGCUGGCGGCGUGCCUAAUACAUGCAAGUCGAACGGACAAGUAAGAGCUUGCUCUUAUGAGUUAGUGGCGCACGGGUGAGUAAUGUAUAGCUAAUCUGCCCUACACUAGAGGACAACAGUUGGAAACGGCUGCUAAUACUCUAUACACCUCUCUAGCAUAAGUUAGAUAGGGAAAGUUUUUCGGUGUAGGAUGAGGCUAUAUUGUAUCAGCUAGUUGGUGAGGUAAUGGCUCACCAAGGCUAUGACGCAUAACUGGUCUGAGAGGAUGAUCAGUCACACUGGAACUGAGACACGGUCCAGACUCCUACGGGAGGCAGCAGUAGGGAAUAUUGCUCAAUGGGGGAAACCCUGAAGCAGCAACGCCGCGUGGAGGAUGACACUUUUCGGAGCGUAAACUCCUUUUGUUAGGGAAGAAUAANGACG